GAGGGUGUAGUUCAGUGGUAGAGUGCAUGCCUAGCAUGCACGAGGUCCUGGGUUCAGUCCCCAGUACCUCCA
This 72-nucleotide transfer RNA is filed under the name Camelus bactrianus (Bactrian camel). It matches the Rfam family "tRNA". Rfam says of the family: Transfer RNA (tRNA) molecules are approximately 80 nucleotides in length. Their secondary structure includes four short double-helical elements and three loops (D, anti-codon, and T loops). RNAcentral also lists the same sequence under 2 other names. Lineage: Eukaryota; Metazoa; Chordata; Mammalia; Artiodactyla; Camelidae. The record is from Rfam by way of RNAcentral.